This 253-nucleotide ribosomal RNA is filed under the name uncultured bacterium. RNAcentral describes it as "partial 16S ribosomal RNA". It matches the Rfam family "Bacterial small subunit ribosomal RNA", at positions 524 to 776 of the family's 1533-position model. The record is from RNAcentral.
UACGUAGGGGGCAAGCGUUGUCCGGAAUCAUUGGGCGUAAAGAGCGUGUAGGCGGCCCGAUAAGUCCGCCGUGAAAGUCCAGGGCUCAACCCUGGAAUGCCGGUGGAAACUGUCGGGCUGGAGUCCGGAAGAGGCGAGUGGAAUUCCUGGUGUAGCGGUGAAAUGCGCAGAUAUCAGGAAGAACACCUAUGGCGAAGGCAGCUCUCUGGGACGGUACUGACGCUGCGACGCGAAAGCGUGGGGAGCGAACAGG